GGAAUCUUCGGCAAUGGGGGCGAACCCUGACCGAGCAACGCCGCGUGAGUGAAGAAGGUUUUCGGAUCGUAAAGCUCUGUUGUAAGAGAAGAACGUGUGUGAGAGUGGAAAGUUCACACAGUGACGGUAACUUACCAGAAAGGGACGGCUAACUACGUGCCAG
RNAcentral lists this ribosomal RNA (163 nucleotides) under uncultured bacterium. RNAcentral describes it as "partial 16S rRNA". It matches the Rfam family "Bacterial small subunit ribosomal RNA", at positions 358 to 511 of the family's 1533-position model. The record is from RNAcentral.